UCCGACUUAACGUCGGCAGUCCCGUCAGAGUGCCCAGCUUUCCUGUUGGCAACUGACAGCAGGGGUUGCGCUCGUUGCGGGACUUAACCCAACAUCUCACGGCACGAGCUGACGACAGCCAUGCAGCACCUGUGCUGGGCCCUUACGGACACGAGCUUUCACCCGCUUUACCCAGCAUGUCAAGCCCAGGUAAGGUUCUUCGCGUUGCAUCGAAUUAAGCCACAUGCUCCGCCGCUUGUGCGGGUCCCCGUCAAUUCCUUUGAGUUUUAGCCUUGCGGCCGUACUCCCCAGGCGGGGUGCUUAAUGCGUUGGCUUCGGCACGGAAGGGGUCGAUAUCCCCCCACACCUAGCACCCAUCGUUUACGGCUGGGACUAC
Molecule: unclassified non-coding RNA, 376 nt
Filed under: uncultured bacterium
Lineage: Bacteria
Description: contains 16S-23S intergenic spacer region
Source: RNAcentral